CAAUAGCGUAUAUUAAAGUUGUUGCGGUUAAAAAGCUCGUAGUUGGAUUUCUGCCGAGGACGACCGGUCCGCCCUCUGGGUGAGCAUUGACUCGGCCUUGGCAUCUUCUUGGAGAACGCUACUGCACUUGACUGUGUGGUGCGGUAUCCAGGACUUUUACUUUGAGGAAAUUAGAGUGUUUCAAGCAGGCGCACGCCUUGAAUACAUUAGCAUGGAAUAAUAGGAUAGGACCUUGGUUCUAUUUUGUUGGUUUCUAGAGCUGAGGUAAUGAUUAAUAGGGAUAGUUGGGGGCAUUCGUAUCAACACGUCAGAGGUGGAAUUCUUGGAUUGUGUUGCGACGAACUACUGCGAAAGCAUUUGCCAAGGAUGUUUUCAUUGAUCAAGAACGAAAGUUAGGGGAUCGAAGAUGAUUAGAUACCGU
Molecule: ribosomal RNA, 421 nt
Filed under: uncultured eukaryote
Lineage: Eukaryota
Description: SSU rRNA
Rfam family: Eukaryotic small subunit ribosomal RNA
Source: RNAcentral